Molecule: ribosomal RNA, 462 nt
Filed under: uncultured bacterium
Lineage: Bacteria
Description: partial 16S ribosomal RNA
Rfam family: Bacterial small subunit ribosomal RNA
Source: RNAcentral
GACGAACGCUGGCGGCGUGCUUAACACAUGCAAGUCGAACGGUGAAGCCCUUCGGGGUGGCUCAGUGGCGAACGGGUGAGUAACACGUGAGCAACCUGCCCCUGGCUCUGGGACAACCACUGGAAACGGUGGCUAAUACCGGAUACGACCCGCCUCGGCAUCGAGUGUGGGUGGAAAGUUUGUCGGCUGGGGAUGGGCUCGCGGCCUAUCAGCUUGUUGGUGAGGUGAAGGCUCACCAAGGCGACGACGGGUAGCCGGCCUGAGAGGGCGACCGGCCACACUGGGACUGAGACACGGCCCAGACUCCUACGGGAGGCAGCAGUGGGGAAUAUUGCACAAUGGGCGAAAGCCUGAUGCAGCGACGCCGCGUGCGGGAUGACGGCCUUCGGGUUGUAAACCUCUUUCAGCUCCGAAGAAGCGAAAGUGACGGUAGGAGCAGAAGAAGCACCGGCUAACUACGUG